Molecule: ribosomal RNA, 670 nt
Filed under: Inocybe abietis
Lineage: Eukaryota; Fungi; Basidiomycota; Agaricomycetes; Agaricales; Inocybaceae
Also listed under: 2 other names
Description: eukaryotic LSU rRNA
Rfam family: Eukaryotic large subunit ribosomal RNA
Source: RNAcentral
UUGACCUCAAAUCAGGUAGGACUACCCGCUGAACUUAAGCAUAUCAAUAAGCGGAGGAAAAGAAACUAACAAGGAUUCCCCUAGUAACUGCGAGUGAAGCGGGAAAAGCUCAAAUUUGAAAUCUGGCGGUUCUUGAACUGUCCGAGUUGUAAUCUAGAGAAGUGUUACCUGUGCUGAACCGUGUACAAGUCUCCUGGAAUGGAGCAUCAUAGAGGGUGAGAAUCCCGUCUUUGACAUGGACUGCCUGUACAUUAUGGUGCGCUCUCAAAGAGUCGAGUUGUUUGGGAAUGCAGCUCAAAAUGGGUGGUAAAUGCCAUCUAAAGCUAAAUAUUGGCGAGAGACCGAUAGCGAACAAGUACCGUGAGGGAAAGAUGAAAAGAACUUUGGAAAGAGAGUUAAACAGUACGUGAAAUUGCUGAAAGGGAAACGCUUGAAGUCAGUCACGUUGGCUAGAAAUCAGCCUUGCUCUUGCUUGGUGUACUUUCUGGUUGAUGGGUCAGCAUCAAUUUCGACCAUUGGAUAAAGUCUCUGGGAAUGUGGCAUCUUAGGAUGUGUUAUAGCCCAGGGUCGCAUACRGUGGUUGGGAUUGAGGAAUUCAGCACGCCGCAAGGCCGGGUUUCGACCACGUUCGUGCUUAGGAUGCUGGCAUAAUGGCUUUAAUCGACCCGUC